UACGGAGGGUGCGAGCGUUGUCCGGAAUCACUGGGCGUAAAGGGCGCGUAGGUGGCCUGUGGAAGUCUGCGGUGAAAGCCCGGCGCUCAACGCCGGGUCGGCCGUGGAUACUCUCGGGCUUGAGCUUACUAGAGGCAGAUGGAAUUCCGGGUGUAGCGGUGGAAUGCGUAGAGAUCCGGAAGAACACCGGUGGCGAAGGCGGUCUGCUGGGGUAAUGCUGGACACUGAUGCGCGGACAGCGUGGGGAGCAAACAGG
Molecule: ribosomal RNA, 256 nt
Filed under: uncultured bacterium
Lineage: Bacteria
Description: partial 16S ribosomal RNA
Rfam family: Bacterial small subunit ribosomal RNA
Source: RNAcentral